This 301-nucleotide ribosomal RNA is filed under the name uncultured bacterium. RNAcentral's name for it is "partial 16S ribosomal RNA". It matches the Rfam family "Bacterial small subunit ribosomal RNA", at positions 509 to 807 of the family's 1533-position model. The record is from RNAcentral.
CAGUCGCCACGGUAAUACGAAGGGUGCAAGCGUUAAUCGGAAUUACUGGGCGUAAAGCGUGCGUAGGCGGUUUCUUAAGUCUGCUGUGAAAUCCCCGGGCUCAACCUGGGAAUGGCAGUGGAUACUGGGAAGCUAGAGUGUGUCAGAGGAUGGUGGAAUUCCCGGUGUAGCGGUGAAAUGCGUAGAGAUCGGGAGGAACAUCAGUGGCGAAGGCGGCCAUCUGGGACAACACUGACGCUGAGGCACGAAAGCGUGGGGAGCAAACAGGAUUAGAUACCCCUGUAGUCCCUGUCUCUUAUAC